CCCCCCCCCCCCCACCAAAUAAUACGGCUGGGAUAUUUGAGGGGAACAUAUACCACACCACGGUACACACGGACCCAACUGAACACCGCUGUUCUUUUCCUGCUUGGGACGCUUUCUGGUCGAUUGCAGUGAUUUGACCCACCUUUAGUAAUGAUGGAGGGAGCUGUGGAGAACUACAGGCAGCAGGAAGUAGAAGUCAAAACGAGAUCUCUGGGAUUUUGCUCCCUACUGGAACCACGUGAGGUUGGAAUGGAGACCUCGUAGAUCAUGACCUAGAAACAAAUGGCAUAAUGACAGGAGUCUCCAGGCUAAAGAUGUCAAGGAUAUUCAACUGAUCUCAGAGGUUAAUGAGGUCCUGAUCAACCAUGGGUCCUGCAUUUCAUCAAGAUGAGCUUCAAGAUGUCAAUGAGCUUCACAAUACUCUUUACAACACUUGGACCUGCACUGUACUCUUUAUUUCUGUAUGUGCGUCAACUGAUUAUAUACAAUUAUUGGCCAAACCGACUAAUAGUGUGACCUUGCCCUAAUAUACAACUGUAUUUAUAUGGAUUUAUUAGUUUUAUAUGAAAGAAUACUUAAUAAGAAAAUAAGAUGAACAUAUUCUUGAACAUUGAAACUUGGAUUUAUUUCAUGUAAUUGAUUGAGUCUAACAAGUCUACAUUUUGACAGCUGAAUAAAAGGCAUUUUUUUCUCCAUAAAGUGAUGUUUUAGUGUGAGUUAUUUCCUUCUUUCUGUGUAGUGCGUUGGCACUCCAGGUAAAGAACAAUGUGCUUGACAUAAUUGGGUCCUAUUUGGUUAUGAAAAGAGCAUGCGUGCUGAUAAAAGUUGGAAGGGUGAUCAAAGCACCACGUGUCCCGAUCAAAAUCAUACACCCGACACAGUUGUAGAUGUGAGGAAACAGGUUCAGACGGUACCAAGAAGCUUCCCUGUUUAAUAUCAGCUCCAUUUCACAUUGUGUGCUGUUGUUUUCGUGUACGGGUAUGUCUGUCAAAUCAAAUGUACCUCUGUGUGCAAAAUAUGAAGCAACAAUUAAAGAUUAGAAUGAU
Molecule: long non-coding RNA, 1046 nt
Organism: Etheostoma cragini (Arkansas darter)
Lineage: Eukaryota; Metazoa; Chordata; Actinopteri; Perciformes; Percidae
Exons: 4
Source: RefSeq, a predicted model, not a curated record